GGCUCACUGCAAGCUCCGCCUCCCGGGUUCACGCCAUCUUGCCACUAAACCUGAUUUACCAACAUAACCUGUUUCUGGCCAUGCUGUGAAUCUGCAUUCUUUACUGUGUCCUUGGGAUACUAGGUCUCUGAUCAAGUGCCACAUCUUUAGAGAAGCUUUUCCAAACAACCGUAAGUAAAAUAGCAUGUGUCCUACCCCUACAGUCUGUCUGUAGUCCCUUAUUCUGAUCUAGUUUCUUCAUGGCACUUAUAUCUGACAUUAUUUGUUUAUGUAUUAUAUAUCUUUCCAAUUAGAAUAUGAGAUGGUUGAGAGAAAGGACUGUUCUCUGUCUUGGUUCACCAUUGUAUCCCAGCACAUAAAACAGUGACACACUUAUGGUAAAUGCUCCAUAAGCAUUUGUUCAAUGAAAGAAUUACAUUUAUUGAACUUUAUAUGCCAGGCCUUGUUUUAUAAGUAUCAUUGCAUUUAAUGUUGACAAUAACGCUAUGGGGUAGAUACCAUCAUCCCUAUUUUGCAAAAGAGAAAAUUUAAAUUUAGCAAGGUUAAAUAAGUUGUUCAGUGGUCACACAGCAGUUAAUUGGAAAACCCAGUAUUUGAACACAGAUAUUCUGAUUCUAGUGGACUUAUUCAUAAUACUCUACUGCCUCUAGUGUUUAUUUAUUGAGCACUUACUAUGUAGCAAGCACUAUGUUAAAUGUUUUAUGGGCAUAAUUUCAUUCAGUCAAUAUCCCUAUCUUUACAGAGAGAAACUUAAAUCUUAGGUAGGUUAUGUAAUUUGCCCUAGUUACACACAUAAUAAUGGGCUAUCCUUUAUGAAAUAUC
RNAcentral lists this long non-coding RNA (822 nucleotides) under Homo sapiens (human). RNAcentral's name for it is "long intergenic non-protein coding RNA 3077". The record is from RNAcentral. Lineage: Eukaryota; Metazoa; Chordata; Mammalia; Primates; Hominidae.